This 460-nucleotide ribosomal RNA is filed under the name uncultured bacterium. RNAcentral describes it as "partial 16S ribosomal RNA". It matches the Rfam family "Bacterial small subunit ribosomal RNA", at positions 338 to 795 of the family's 1533-position model. The record is from RNAcentral.
CCUACGGGAGGCAGCAGUGAGGAAUAUUGGUCAAUGGGCGAGAGCCUGAACCAGCCAAGUCGCGUGAAGGAUGACGGCCCUACGGGUUGUAAACUUCUUUUGUCAGGGAGCAAUUGUGUCCACGUGUGGGCUUAGCGAGAGUACCUGAAGAACAAGCAUCGGCUAACUCCGUGCCAGCAGCCGCGGUAAUCCGGGGGAUGCGAGCGUUAUCCGGAUUUAUUGGGUUUAAGGGGUGCGUAGGCGGAAUAUAAAGUCAGCGGUAAAAAUUCGGGGUUCAACCCCGUCGUGCCGUUGAAACUGAUGUUCUUGAGUGCGCGAGAGGUAUGCGGAAUGCGUGGUGUAGCGGUGAAAUGCAUAGAUAUCACGCAGAACUCCGAUUGCGAAGGCAGCAUACCGGCGCCCAACUGACGCUGAAGCACGAAAGCGUGGGGAGCGAACAGGAUUAGAUACCCGGGUAGUC